This 373-nucleotide ribosomal RNA is filed under the name uncultured bacterium. Its description in RNAcentral is "bacterial SSU rRNA". It matches the Rfam family "Bacterial small subunit ribosomal RNA", at positions 525 to 896 of the family's 1533-position model. The record is from RNAcentral.
ACGUAGGGUGCGAGCGUUAAUCGGAAUUACUGGGCGUAAAGCGUGCGCAGGCGGUUUUUUAAGCCAGAUGUGAAAUCCCCGGGCUUAACCUGGGAACUGCAUUUGGAACUGGAAGACUAGAGUGUAGCAGAGGGGGGUAGAAUUCCACGUGUAGCAGUGAAAUGCGUAGAUAUGUGGAGGAAUACCAAUGGCGAAGGCAGCCCCCUGGGUUAACACUGACGCUCAUGCACGAAAGCGUGGGGAGCAAACAGGAUUAGAUACCCUGGUAGUCCACGCCCUAAACGAUGUCAACUAGGUGUUGGGGGAGGAGACUUCCUUAGUACCGCAGCUAACGCGUGAAGUUGACCGCCUGGGGAGUACGGUCGCAAGAUUA